UCCCUUCCGGGGGGGUGGUAGCGUGGCGCACGGGUGAGUAACACGUGGGUAAUCUGCCUUCGGGUGGGGGAUAACGGCGCGAAAGCGUCGCUAAUACCGCAUAACGCAGCGGCACCACAUGGUGACAGUUGUUAAAGGGGGGGAUCCUUUCGGGGACCUCCCGCCGGAAGAGGAGCCCGCGCUCGAUUAGCUAGUUGGUGAGGUAAUGGCUCACCAAGGCAGUGAUCGAUAGCCGGCCUGAGAGGGCGGUCGGCCACACUGGCACUGAGACACGGGCCAGACUCCUACGGGAGGCAGCAGUGGGGAAUUUUGGGCAAUGGGCGCAAGCCUGACCCAGCAACGCCGCGUGAGGGACGAAAUCCCUUCGGGAUGUAAACCUCGAAAGUUGGGGAAGAAAUCUUCAGGGAUAAUACCCCUGAGGGAUGACGGUACCCAACGUAAGCCCCGGCUAACUACGUGCCAGCAGCCGCGGUAAUACGUAGGGGGCAAGCGUUGUUCGGAAUUACUGGGCGUAAAGGGCGCGUAGGCGGCACGGCACGUCGGGAGUGAAAGCCCGGGGCUCAACCCCGGAAUGUCUCUCGAGACUGCCGAGCUAGAGUGCGGAAGAGGCACCUGGAAUUCCCAGUGUAGCGGUGAAAUGCGUAGAUAUUGGGAAGAACACCAGAGGCGAAGGCGGGGUGCUGGGCCGACACUGACGCU
RNAcentral lists this ribosomal RNA (699 nucleotides) under uncultured bacterium. Its description in RNAcentral is "bacterial SSU rRNA". It matches the Rfam family "Bacterial small subunit ribosomal RNA", at positions 73 to 747 of the family's 1533-position model. The record is from RNAcentral.